Molecule: long non-coding RNA, 1972 nt
Organism: Saccostrea cuccullata (small rock oyster)
Lineage: Eukaryota; Metazoa; Mollusca; Bivalvia; Ostreida; Ostreidae
Exons: 3
Source: RefSeq, a predicted model, not a curated record
UAAUGAGUCAACUGCUAGGACAAAAAUACUGUUCAUUUGGAGAUGCUAUUGUAGAAGAAACUGGUGUAUGGCUGCAUGAGAGUGGCAUAUUGGGAGCCAGCCCUGAUUGAAUUAUUCGACGUGCAGCGACACACAAUUACAACUACCAGGAUGUAGAAUUAACAGACCUACUCGAGUGCAUGGCUGUUAAACCAGAAGUUUUGGAGGUGAAGUGCCCAUUUAGUGCAAGGAAUAUGUCAAUUCCCGAGGCCAUAGAAUCUGUCAAAGACUUUUGCUUGGAUUACCAAAUAUAUGAAGGAAGGAAGUUCUACAAAUUAAAGGAGGGCCACAGAUAUUACGAUCAGGUGCAAGGACAGCUGCACAUACUUAACAGGUCAUCAUGUGACUUUGUAGUGUGGACUACGGAAGACAUAGCUAUUGUGAGAAUUCUUCAGGACAGCACCUGGACCCCAAAUAUGUCAAAACUCAUCGAUUUUUACUUUUGUAAAAUAAUCCCAAAUAUUGUUCAGGACUGACAUUUGGUUAGUAUGACAUCAUAUAGGCAAUUUUGUAUAUUUGUACUGAUAUACGGUAGGUUUUUUAUGAGUGACUUAAAUUGAAGUUUUUGAUUAGUGAUUACCAGUAAUCCCAAUUUAUACACAUACAAAUAUGUUAUAUGUUUAUGUAAUAAUACAGUGAGUUGUAGGGCAAUGUCAGACUUGUAUACCUGCUACAUUGAAUAUUUUGGGACUUGACUUGAACCGCUUGUUUUCAGUAAUCAUGAGGCACUAUUUAUAAGGAAUCUUAUUGUUAUACAUAUGUACUCGGGGUAAAGCUGGAAAUCAACAACAGAAGUUAUACUUUGUUUUCUGAAUUAUUUCUGAAAGUUUUCUCAUCAUUACACAUAAUCAUGAAUAAUUAUUUCUUGAGUUUUAUAUUGUAUUGAUUGAUUUUUGCUUGUAGUGUAUUUCAGGUUGUUCCUAUUAUUUCUUACCACUUAAAAAUACACAAUAUAAUUUUUUAAUACAGUGAAAGAUUUCUUUCAGAACUGUAGAAGAAAUAAGUUAAGUAUUCUGUUCAAAUGUCUUUUUAAAUAUAUAUAUAUCAUAAACUGUGUAAUAAAUUUUUGACUGUAUAUGCUUUUUUUUUUAUCUAGUCGAAUACAUGUAAGGCCAUGCAAAGUUAAUUACUUGGUUCUCAGGCCUUUUUUCAAGAAAUAUGAUGAGGGAGGGAGGCAUUUUUUUUUUCUUUUUUAUUGCCCCCAAAACAUGACGAGGCAGCUUUUUACAUUGUACAAAUCCUCAAAAAAUGAUGAGGGAGGUGAUUUGGUGUUUAUAUUUUAUUGAUUUAGCAUUAGAAAGGGUCAAUGAGGCACCCUUGGAAGAGAUGAGGGAGGGCCUGAGAACCAAGAAAUUGAUUUUUUUUUUGCCUAAUAUGCAAGUAAACGAGACGAAGUGAUGAAAAAAUACAUGUAAAUUUUAUGUACAAUAUGGAACUACAUUUUUUGGUAUUUCACAUAUUCCAUGUAAAUAUUGGACAUCAUUUUGUCAAAGAAUUAUUUCAUAACAAUUGUACUGUUCCAUUAUCCAAAGAGACUAAUGACUCAAUGUAUUAAAAAAAAUGGAUAAAGAAUAGAAAUUUACUAUAACAUAUGUAAAAUUUGCUAGCUUUCAUGAUAUUAUAGAAUUUAAAAUAUACAUGCUUUUUUGCAAAAAAUAAUGAUAAAUGGAGUAUUUUCAAAGAAUCUUUGUAAAGGUCAAUGACAACAUACUAUUUACCUUAAAAUGCUCUUUUCAAAGUUGUUUACAAGAUUUAUGAUACAUAUAAUACAACCUUUAUUUUCCUGGCACUUAUACAUAGCACUCUACUUGAAGCAAGGUUGGGUUUGUCAAAACUUUGUUACACUUACAUUUACAAUAUCAAUUUAGGGUAUGAAUAUCAUAAAAGAAAUAUAUGUUAAAGCUGAACACAAUUACAAAUACUUGGAACCUCU